GCAAGUAUAGUUUAACCCAAACAUUAGGCUGUGAUCCUAAAGAUAGAAGUUAGACCCUUCUUACCUGCC
Molecule: transfer RNA, 69 nt
Filed under: Dicaeum agile (Thick-billed flowerpecker)
Lineage: Eukaryota; Metazoa; Chordata; Aves; Passeriformes; Dicaeidae
Description: tRNA-His
Rfam family: tRNA
About the family: Transfer RNA (tRNA) molecules are approximately 80 nucleotides in length. Their secondary structure includes four short double-helical elements and three loops (D, anti-codon, and T loops).
Source: RNAcentral